RNAcentral lists this ribosomal RNA (497 nucleotides) under uncultured bacterium. Its description in RNAcentral is "partial 16S ribosomal RNA". It matches the Rfam family "Bacterial small subunit ribosomal RNA", at positions 28 to 507 of the family's 1533-position model. The record is from RNAcentral.
GAUGAACGCUGGCGGCGUGCCUAAUACAUGCAAGUCGAGCGAACAGACGAGGAGCUUGCUCCUCUGACGUUAGCGGCGGACGGGUGAGUAACACGUGGAUAACCUACCUAUAAGACUGGGAUAACUUCGGGAAACCGGAGCUAAUACCGGAUAAUAUAUUGAACCGCAUGGUUCAAUAGUGAAAGACGGCUUUGCUGUCACUUAUAGAUGGAUCCGCGCCGCAUUAGCUAGUUGGUAAGGUAACGGCUUACCAAGGCAACGAUGCGUAGCCGACCUGAGAGGGUGAUCGGCCACACUGGAACUGAGACACGGUCCAGACUCCUACGGGAGGCAGCAGUAGGGAAUCUUCCGCAAUGGGCGAAAGCCUGACGGAGCAACGCCGCGUGAGUGAUGAAGGUCUUCGGAUCGUAAAACUCUGUUAUUAGGGAAGAACAGAUGUGUAAGUAAAUAUGCACGUCUUGACGGUACCUAAUCAGAAAGCCACGGCUAACUACGUG